Molecule: ribosomal RNA, 273 nt
Filed under: uncultured bacterium
Lineage: Bacteria
Description: partial 16S ribosomal RNA
Rfam family: Bacterial small subunit ribosomal RNA
Source: RNAcentral
UACGAAGGGGGCGAGCGUUGUUCGGAAUUACUGGGCGUAAAGGGCGCGUAGGCGGUCCCCCAAGUCAGGCGUGAAAGCCCCGGGCUCAACCUGGGAACGGCGCUUGGGACUGGUGGGCUAGAGUUCGGGAGAGGAUGGUGGAAUUCCCAGUGUAGAGGUGAAAUUCGUAGAUAUUGGGAAGAACACCGAUGGCGAAGGCAGCCAUCUGGACCGACACUGACGCUGAGGCGCGAAAGCGUGGGGAGCAAACAGGAUUAGAAACCCCGGUAGUCC